Molecule: ribosomal RNA, 806 nt
Filed under: uncultured bacterium
Lineage: Bacteria
Description: bacterial SSU rRNA
Rfam family: Bacterial small subunit ribosomal RNA
Source: RNAcentral
CCUUAGAGUUUGAUCCUGGCUCAGGAUGAAUGCUGGCGGCGUGCUUAACACAUGCAAGUCGAACGGAGGACCCUUGACGGAGUUUUCGGACAACGGAUAGGAAUCCUUAGUGGCGGACGGGUGAGUAACGCGUGAGGAACCUGCCUUGGAGAGGGGAAUAACACAGAGAAAUUUGUGCUAAUACCGCAUGAUGCAGUUGGGUCGCAUGGCUCUGACUGCCAAAGAUUUAUCGCUCUGAGAUGGCCUCGCGUCUGAUUAGCUAGUUGGCAGGGUAACGGCCUACCAAGGCGAUGAUCAGUAGCCGGACUGAGAGGUUGACCGGCCACAUUGGGACUGAGACACGGCCCAGACUCCUACGGGAGGCAGCAGUGGGGAAUAUUGGGCAAUGGGCGCAAGCCUGACCCAGCAACGCCGCGUGAAAGAAGAAGGCUUUCGGGUUGUAAACUUCUUUUAUGAGGGACGAAGGAAGUGACGGUACCUCAUGAAUAAGCUCCGGCUAACUACGCGCCAGCAGCCGCGGUAAAACGUAGGUCACAAGCGUUGUCCGGAAUUACUGGGUGUAAAGGGAGCGCAGGCGGGAAGACAAGUUGGAAGUGAAAUCUAUGGGCUCAACCCAUAAACUGCUUUCAAAACUGUUUUUCUUGAGUAGUGCAGAGGUAGGCGGAAUUCCCGGUGUAGCGGUGGAAUGCGUAGAUAUCGGGAGGAACACCAGUGGCGAAGGCGGCCUACUGGGCACCAACUGACGCUGAGGCUCGAAAGUGUGGGUAGCAAACAAGAUUAGAUACCCUGGUAGUCCACACCGUAAA